RNAcentral lists this transfer RNA (72 nucleotides) under Clostridioides difficile. RNAcentral's name for it is "tRNA-Val(tac)". It matches the Rfam family "tRNA". From Rfam's summary of the family: Transfer RNA (tRNA) molecules are approximately 80 nucleotides in length. Their secondary structure includes four short double-helical elements and three loops (D, anti-codon, and T loops). Lineage: Bacteria; Bacillati; Bacillota; Clostridia; Peptostreptococcales; Peptostreptococcaceae. The record is from RNAcentral.
GGACCAUAGCUCAGCUGGGAGAGCACCUGCCUUACAAGCAGGGGGUCACAGGUUCGAGCCCNAUCUGGUUGA